This 250-nucleotide ribosomal RNA is filed under the name uncultured bacterium. Its description in RNAcentral is "partial 16S ribosomal RNA". It matches the Rfam family "Bacterial small subunit ribosomal RNA", at positions 779 to 1034 of the family's 1533-position model. The record is from RNAcentral.
UAGAUACCCUGGUAGUCCACGCUGUAAACGAUGGAUACUAGCUGUUUGGUUGUAAGACUGAGUGGCUAAGCGAAAGUGAUAAGUAUCCCACCUGGGGAGUACGCACGCAAGUGUGAAACUCAAAGGAAUUGACGGGGGCCCGCACAAGCGGUGGAGCAUGUGGUUUAAUUCGAUGAUACGCGAGGAACCUUACCAAGGUUUAAAUGGAGACUGACAGGUGUAGAGAUACGCUUUUCUUCGGACAGUUUUC